GCACCCUGCUUUUCUGCCUGCCUUCUAUUUUUUCUCCUCUCAAGUCCCUCAGAGGCAACCCUCUAGCAAGGUUCCAUUUCUCAAGCUUGUCUUUAGAUUUAGUCAAGCUCUAGCCCUCCUACCUAAAUAAUGCCAUCAUCCCUGAACUCUCUAACUCUUCCUACUCCCAUCUGGGACAAAUGUAUGGAAUUGGAGACAGGGAAACUGAAGCAAGGAAAGGGAGAAGGACCAUCUUUGUUCUUGCCCCCCCCACCCCACUUCUAUCAUUGUUAUUUUAAUCUGGUAGCAAUUUCCUUUUCUUAGACUUUCCUCAGUGCAUAGCACAUCCUAUUGUCAUUUCAUAUUUACAGGAAAAGACCACAUCCCAUCAGUGAGGAAGAAGGGCAAAACCCUUCUAAUCACUCCCCUUCUCUACCUCAUCAUGAGAUCAGGAUAUAAUGAAGCAGGCGCAAUUGUGCCUAGCAACCAGAGCUGCCUCUUACCGUCUUGGCUUGAUGAAAGAAGGAUGAGUUUGCUUUUCGGAUGUCGGUUCACUCCUUUGUCUACUGUCAUCAAAGCCUCAGACUAACUGAAGAACUAAAAGGGAUUACUGCACAAAGACACAUUGGGAUAUGAAAAGCGUCUGUAUCAGCCAUCAUAUGGUCCUGUCCCACAGAGGGACCCACCUGAGCAUCAGCAUACCACUCAUCCAGUGCUUGAACGUCCAUGGCACCCUCCAGCCAGCACUACCUCCUCAGUGCUCAUUGUGCACCAUCUCCAGCUCACACGCUCCUGUGUCUGUUUUAAAUUCUCCUGAAUAUAUUUCUGUGUCAUUGGCCUCCUCUCAAGAGUCAACGGACAGUCAUCCUCAAAUCAGCUCUGGGUUUGAGAUCUUGCCGAAGUUCUGGAAACUUUGUAUAAAGUUCAGGUGAUGACACAAGAAAGAGAAGACUGAGCUGCUAAAAGGAGGGUUGAGGAAGGAGCCUCAAUUCAGAGAUUUGGAAGAAAGUGGCAUUAUCCAACCAACUCACAAGGGUUUUAACAGUUGUUAACGGUUGCAUGUGUAACUCUUCUCAAGAACAGAACUUUGGGGAAAUUUUCGUCAUAUCAACCAAAGGAGAUUUGGGACUUCAAGAACUUCUCAGAUCCUGGAAAGCUCCCAGGAGUCGACUUUCUCCUCUAUCUGGUGUGCGGCUGUCCCUAACUCUCUAGGAAGUGAGAAAAGGGACAUAAAAUUGCAAAAGCAUAAGAAAAAAAGAGGGUUCCAACUCUUUGUUGUUAAUUCUGUUGUGAUUCUAUGUGCACGGACAUGAGGAGUCAGCACAGAGGCAAACUGUCCAUCUAAGACCGAUCACGCAAUCCUGCCCUGCAGUCUGCUGUCAUUUCACGGGUGUGAACACAGUCUGACAUCAGGAUAAUAGGUGCUGGUGCCGGGUCUUUCUUUAUUUUUUCUUUCCUUUCUUCCUUUCUUUUUAUUGCAGUAUAGCAUGUAUGCUCAUCAGAGAGAAACAGAGAGGAUAAAGGAAAAAGCUGCAAUC
Molecule: long non-coding RNA, 1517 nt
Organism: Tupaia belangeri chinensis (Chinese tree shrew)
Lineage: Eukaryota; Metazoa; Chordata; Mammalia; Scandentia; Tupaiidae
Exons: 3
Source: RefSeq, a predicted model, not a curated record